RNAcentral lists this transfer RNA (73 nucleotides) under Chloroflexota bacterium. RNAcentral's name for it is "Chloroflexi bacterium tRNA-Ala". It matches the Rfam family "tRNA". From Rfam's summary of the family: Transfer RNA (tRNA) molecules are approximately 80 nucleotides in length. Their secondary structure includes four short double-helical elements and three loops (D, anti-codon, and T loops). Lineage: Bacteria; Bacillati; Chloroflexota. The record is from RNAcentral.
GGGGACUUAGCUCAGCUGGGAGAGCAUCCGCUUUGCAAGCGGGAGGUCAGGGGUUCGAAUCCCCUAGUCUCCA